UGGUGGUUGUUGCGAGGAGUCUGAACCCGAUCCCAUCCCGAACUCGGCCGUUAAACUCCUCAGCGCCGAUGGUACUAUGUCUCAAGACCUGGGAGAGUAGGUCGCUGCCAGGCC
Molecule: ribosomal RNA, 114 nt
Filed under: bacterium YEK0313
Lineage: Bacteria
Source: RNAcentral